AUGAGUAAGUACUCUGGUGUGAACAGUCUUCUCAAUGCGCUCCCUCUGCCUUUCUCCUUUCCUGAUGCUGACGCACGAUCAGCGCUGUCCUCCCAACAGAACCUGUCCCUCUCUCCUGGUGUCACCCCCGACAGAACCUGUCCCUCUCUCCUGGUGUCACCCCUGACAGAACCUGUCCCUCUCUCCUGGUGUCACCCCCAACAGAACCGGUCCCUCUCUCCUGGUGUCACCCCUGACAGAACCUGUCCUUAUCUCCUCUUGUCACCCCCAACAGAACCUGUCCCUCUCUCCUGGUGUCACCCCCGACAGAACCUGUCCCUCUCUCUUGGUGUCACCCCUGACAGAACCUGUCCUUAUCUCCUCUUGUCACCCCCAACAGAACCUGUCCCUUCUCCUGGUGUCACCCCCAACAGAACCUGUCCCUCUCUUAUUUCCUCUUGUCACCCCCGACAGAACCUGUCCUUAUCUCCUCUUGUCACCCCCUUAUCUCCUGUCACCCCCAACAGAACCUGUCCCUCCUCCUGUCACCCCCGACAGAACCUGUUCUCUCUCCUGGUGUCAUCCCCGACAGAACCUGUCCCUCCUGAUGUCACCCCUGACAGAACCUGUCCCUCUCUCCUGGUGUCACCCCCAACAGAACCUGUCCCUUUCUCCUGGUCACCCCGACAGAACCUGUCCCUCUCUCCUGGUGUCACCCCUGACAGAACCUGUCCCUCUCUCCUGGUGUCACCCCCGACAGAACCUGUCCCUAUCUCCUCAUGUCACCCCCAACAGAACCUGUCCCUCUCUCCUGGUGUCACCCCUGACAGAACCUGUCCCUUUCUCCUGGUCACCCCGACAGAACCUGUCCCUCUCUCCUGGUGUCACCCCUGA
RNAcentral lists this long non-coding RNA (873 nucleotides) under Macaca mulatta (Rhesus monkey). RNAcentral describes it as "lncRNA (ENSMMUG00000039386.2)". Lineage: Eukaryota; Metazoa; Chordata; Mammalia; Primates; Cercopithecidae. The record is from RNAcentral.